This 253-nucleotide ribosomal RNA is filed under the name uncultured bacterium. RNAcentral's name for it is "partial 16S ribosomal RNA". It matches the Rfam family "Bacterial small subunit ribosomal RNA", at positions 524 to 776 of the family's 1533-position model. The record is from RNAcentral.
UACGAGUGCCCCAAGCGUUAUCCGGAAUUAUUGGGCGUAAAGGGUGUGUAGGCGGUUGUGUUAGUCUUCUGUUAAAUUCUUCGGCUUAACCGGGGGCAUGCAGGGGAAACGGCACAACUAGAGGAUGCGAGAGGUGAAUGGAACUCAUGGAGUAGGGGUGAAAUCCGUUGAUAUCAUGGGGAACACCGAAGGCGAAGGCAAUUCACUGGCGCACUCCUGACGCUGAAACACGAAAGCGUAGGUAGCGAAUGGG